UACAUACUCCCUCUGUUCGGAAUUACUUGUCCAAGAAAUGAAUGUAUCUAGAUGUAUUUUAGUUGUAGAUACAUCCAUUUUUGUGAAAGUAAUUCCGAACGGAGGGAGUACUAC
Molecule: non-coding RNA, 114 nt
Organism: Triticum aestivum (bread wheat)
Lineage: Eukaryota; Viridiplantae; Streptophyta; Magnoliopsida; Poales; Poaceae
Source: Rfam